This is a non-coding RNA of Microcebus murinus (gray mouse lemur), 1775 nucleotides long. NCBI's taxonomy places the organism in Eukaryota, Metazoa, Chordata, Mammalia, Primates, Cheirogaleidae. The record is from RefSeq and is a predicted model, not a curated record.
UCAGCAUUAAGGGGCCCCUGUAAGUCUGCUGGGGGUCCCUCUAAGUAUCUGUGGGUCCCACUCCUAGAGAUCACCCCACACACACAUAAAUGCCCUUUGGGGUUGACCCCUGAGAUGGUGUUUGACCUCUCAGAGUAUCUGCGGAUGUGCCCACAGCCUCUGUUGUCUCCUCUGAUGCUCUCGGCCACUGCUCCAUAAGCCCCAGAUUCUGAAAGUCAAGUUCUAGAUGUUGGAUCCCCAGAAGGCCCAACUGGAUUCUAGAACUCUCCAACUGGAACUGGAGGAAAUGGGCUUUUUCCACAGCUAGACGGGAGAAAGAGUUUUUGGGCUAUUCAGAUGUGUGCGGCUUGGUGACGGAUCAGAAGGACAAAUGCGGUUGCUCUCGGCACCCUGGUGGCAGUGUGUAUGUGUGCAGAGUUCGGCAUGACUACCCUUUCCCAAGAAACAAGAGUGGCUGAAGCAAUUGUGCAGUUGUGGCUUGUGUUUGUAAGAGAAAUAAACUGGAUACACCAGGGAUGCUGGAGUCCUCAGGAAGGUAGGAAAGGGGGCAGGGCCAGGGCGGUAUCUGUGUGGAGUGUGCGUGUUCCCCCAUGUCUGCGUGGGCUUUCUCUGGGUACUCUGGUUGUCUCCCAUAUCCCAGAGCUGUGCAUGUUCAGUUCACAGACGUGUUUACACGGUCCCUGGGUGAGUGAGUGUGGGUGUGUGUGACAGUGCCCUGGGAUGGGAUCGGCUGCCACCUUGUGCCUGGAGCUGCCAGGACGGGCUUAGGCCAUCAGUGACUCUGGACUGGAAUAAUUGGGCAGCUGCGAUGCCAGCAUGGCCAGAUGGCGACAUCUAGAGGCAGCCUCCGCCUCCCACUGCCCCGCCCUGCAGAACUCCCUGGCCCCUCAGGAUUUAGUGACCAACCCAACAACCAGGCAGAGCUCGGAAGAGGCCAAAGCUGAGGGCAGGGCCAGCAAAGGCCCUAAGACUCCAAGUGAACCAUGGACACUCUGCCCUCCCACAAGCCCGGGAGCACGCUGGCUUGUUGACAACAUUCCCUGUCCCCACCCCUGCACUGUCCCGUCCCCUGCACUGCUCUGUUUCAGAGGAAGAGAUUCGAGCUCAGCCAACUCUCCAACCCUUGGACGGGACGUCCUCACUUCCACCUGGAGACACAGGCCCAUCCUGUGGCCUGAGCCCCAAAAGAGAACACAGAAUGGCCCUCACCUUUUCUGUAGUGUUCCCUUUUAAGCUAAUUGUCCAUUUCCACCCACCCACACCCUCGGCCUCUCUGGCACCAGAUGAUCUUAGCCAACUCUCCUUGCUUUUCUCCACCACACGGUUUUUCCCCGGGUUCUCUGACCGCCUACUCUUUAGCUCAUUCCUCCUCACUGUCUUUCCCUCUGUCCUUCUGUCCUUCCUCACUCAGCCCACAAACAGCCUGUGAACCCCCAGGCAGGACAGGGGGCCAGGCCUGAGGCUGCAGGGAUGGGGUGGGAAGAGCCAAACAAGGACAAAGUCCCAACAGCCCUGGUGACAACACCACAGGGCAAGGAGGGGAUUGAGGCAGGACUUCCUGCUCUGCCCCCUACCCCCACCACCACGCUAGUAAAGAGCAAGACACGCCCACAGCCCUUCCUGAGACCCUGCAGGACCUUGCUCACUUUCCCCUUCGUGGAGGACAUCUGCGGGGCUCCUCCCUGCCCGCUGUCAAUGCAAAAGAAGCCAAACUCUGUAAAAUAAUUUUAAAAGGUUUAUUCUGAGCCAAAUUUGAGGACCAUGGCCCAGAGCCA